Schistocerca gregaria is the source of this 1054-nucleotide long non-coding RNA. RefSeq lists it as uncharacterized. The transcript has 3 exons. Lineage: Eukaryota; Metazoa; Arthropoda; Insecta; Orthoptera; Acrididae. The record is from RefSeq and is a predicted model, not a curated record.
UGUUUGUGCAGACUUCUGCGGCAACUCCCUCCUGCCGGCUGUGCCGCGUCGUUAGCCGGCGGCGACGGCGGGGCAACGGGGCAAGGCGGUCUGCACAUGGUCGCCAACUGAAAAGUAUUCCAUCACCAAUAGACCCGCUGUAAACUACGAGAUGGUGCACGGUGAGAUGAGAGAAAUCAUUGGCGCGCCAAGGAAUAAUAAUCUGCGGGCGUGAGCUCAACUCCAGUCCACCGCCAGCAACGGAGCAUGAAGCUUUGACAAUGCCACGCAUUCGUACUUGCAAAACGUCAGAAAAAUCAUCAAACAAACAUCGGCUGAAGAGCCCAAGACAGAAGCCAACAGGAAAUUUGCCAACAAGUGGCCAUAAAAGCCUCAGCAAUGAAAUUUGUGUCAGCAUAUAGCCAAUGCUUCUCGAAUAGUCCAAGGGGGGCCAAUUGCCUUACGCCUACACUCUGUGAGACUGCAUAGAUAUUAAUGAUCAAGACACUGAUAACCUCACUAUAUAGGCGUGUGUGUUUCAGUAAAAUGGAUGACCUGGAAUACCAUGAUUCCAAAUAUCUCUCUCUCUUGCCUUGGACUUUUUGCUGCCAACAAAAAUUCAUCCAAAAUUGGUGAUCAUUUGUAAUGACUCUGGUCCUUCACUUACUGUAGUUUAAACUGGGAGGCUGAAGUGAGUAAUGGCCGUGUUUAUCUCGAAGGCAAUCUGCAUAAAGGGCAUCCUGAACUGCAACCACAGAUAAACCACUCGAAAAGUGUAAAAUAUGGAUAUAGAUGACAGAUGGUUAAAGUCUAUGAAAAAGCUGAUACUAUAGAUGUGCCUCAAAAGAUGUACUACAUUUUACAUGAAGAAUGAACUACGAGAAAAAUAAUGCAAGCUAUGUGCCACUUUUGUUGAACCAUGAUGAAAAACAAAAGUUGAAACAUAUUUCUCAGCAAUGUAUUCACCAUCUCAAAAUGAAUGUUUCUAAUUUUAUAUGUCAGUGUUACAAGGGUUGAAUGAAAAGUAAUGUCUCCAUCUUCGUUAACUGGGUUUGGAUGGGAAUAUUUUAAUAAA